GACCUAAUAGCGAAAUCGGCAUCGCAUCCACUCCCCAUUCAGAUGUAAUAAUGUUACCCGCCAUUGCAUUAUGUGGAAGUCCCUCGUUCGAAUCGAGGUUAGGUCC
This is a non-coding RNA of Mycena rebaudengoi, 106 nucleotides long. NCBI's taxonomy places the organism in Eukaryota, Fungi, Basidiomycota, Agaricomycetes, Agaricales, Mycenaceae. The record is from the annotation of a GenBank genome assembly.